Long non-coding RNA from Dermacentor albipictus, 1335 nucleotides. RefSeq lists it as uncharacterized. Lineage: Eukaryota; Metazoa; Arthropoda; Arachnida; Ixodida; Ixodidae. The record is from RefSeq and is a predicted model, not a curated record.
AUCAGGCAAAAUAACACCCCAACAAGGACUCUGCAUCCUCGGAAUCUCCAGAUGGCGAAAAUUAUACUAUACCUGUUCAACAUUGUCCUCAACAACUCUGGAGAUGACUUGCAACAAACGAUUGAGGACCUUACCCGACAAAGGGUGCGGGUAGGGUUGAAGAGCCCCUGAAACAAUUUUUUGGCCACAGAAGACUGGCAUAGCCGGCUUUGGAAGUGCAAGCAUCUCUGCCAAGGUGACCAUAGUUAACAGCAAAUACUCAUCAUCUAUCCACAUUCUUGGACGCAACGCAACUCACUGUAUAAUGUUGGUACAGCCGAACGCCUUUACAACGAAUGAAACUACAAAGGAAUUACCAGUACAACAAAGGAUUCCCUGGUCGAAUUCCUAUCUUUCAUGUGUACUGAAAACGCCUUUAUAGUGAAGACCAAUACAAUGGAUUUGCCUGUACAACGAAGGAAUUUAGGUGUCCCCGAUGGCUAAUUUGUUGCUUCACAAUGAAUGCAGCUAGCAGUGCUGCUGCUGCCACCCGCAGCCACCAAUGAGCUGCAGUCAGCACUAAAACUAGCGAAGUGGUCGAUGAGUGUGCCGAUCACAGCGAGUGAUUUAGUCUUGCUGCACAGCUCGAGGAAUAUUCAACUCAAGUUAUAUGUCACUUGUUGCAACAUAGCAGCAGGUCUGACAGCUGAUGAAUAAGUGAAAGUUGACGACAUGAUUAGCUCAGAAUGGACAAGCGACGAUGUCGCAGCCUACAAGGACGAGGCAGAGGUGAAGGUUGAUGAAGGCAACAAUUAUGAAAAGCCUGAAGAUUAGAAAAAAAAAAAGGCAAAUGGUGCCAAUAAUGACAUUUGAAAGUUUGCAGCCGUAUCUUGCUCCCGGGUUUCAUAAUGGAGUGAGCAUGAACCUCGAUGACAUAAGGUCUCCUGCACUUGUGCAUUUCGUUGGGGGAAGUGCGCAGAAGAAAAUUAGUGACUUCUUUCACUAUCUCUUUCACUUAUAAUAAAUUAAAGUUUUAUUUUGGUGGACACUCUCAGCCUUAUCUUUACAAUGAAGCGACCUGCAUUAGAAAGAAUUUUAGAGGUCCCGGAGGGCUUCAUUAUAAAGGCAUUUGACUGUGUUUUGCUCUUUUGUGCAUUUUAUUUUUGUGCUGUUCAAGGAUUUUCCUAAGCGCAAGUCAUCAAAAAGAAGAGCAACUAUUUAGCCCUUUUCUUGCAUUGUGCAAAGUGUCGAAGACAGUUCCCAGACUUGUGUAAUAAUAAACAUCAAAAGCUAGGCAUCUGACGACAUAUUUUCGUGUACAAAAUGUCGAAUUUUGCCACAUGACACCUUGAUGGU